UGUAAAUGUAAAUGUAGAUUCGGAGCCCUAUUCUUUCUCAAUCAACAGCGAAUUAGAAGAGGAUUUCAAUAAUUUCUCUGCCAUCUCCAUUAGUGCAGAUUGGGGGAAUGUGCAAAGCAUAGGCUGGCAGAAUUGCAUUUCACCAAUUGGGUUGUGUGCUGCUUGAAAGAAAAAGAGAAAGGAUGCUGAUAAGUUUGAGGCAGCUGUUGAAGCUGGUCAUGGUUUUUCCUUAGCCGGCACUGCCAUAUGUGUGUGCAACUUUGUAAGCAUUUGGGUUGCAUGUAAAAAAUACUAAGUUGAUUAUACAUAAAAAAGGACUCACAAUUGCUUAAAUUAUGCA
Lycium barbarum (goji berry) is the source of this 340-nucleotide long non-coding RNA. RefSeq lists it as uncharacterized. The transcript has 2 exons. The record is from RefSeq and is a predicted model, not a curated record. NCBI's taxonomy places the organism in Eukaryota, Viridiplantae, Streptophyta, Magnoliopsida, Solanales, Solanaceae.